GACGAACCGUGCGAACGUUAUUCGGAAUCACUGGGCUUAAAGCGCGUGUAGGCGGAUGGCCGCGUCGGAGUUGAAAGCCCCCGGCUCAACCGGGGAUCGGGCUCCGAUACGGGUCAUCUGGAGGAACGUAGGGGGAGCUGGAACUUCCGGUGGAGCGGUGAAAUGCGUUGAGAUCGGAAGGAACGCCCGCGGCGAAAGCGAGCUCCUGGACGUUUACUGACGCUGAGACGCGAAAGCCAGGGGAGCGAACGGG
This 253-nucleotide ribosomal RNA is filed under the name uncultured prokaryote. RNAcentral describes it as "partial 16S ribosomal RNA". It matches the Rfam family "Bacterial small subunit ribosomal RNA", at positions 524 to 776 of the family's 1533-position model. The record is from RNAcentral.